CUUGUCGUGUGGCCUCAGUCCUUCGCCGUCCCUCGCCGUCCUUCGCCAUCGCACGCCACCGCACCCCAUCUCUCGAAAUCUGCAGACAUCUUGAUUUUUCCCACGCUGUCUGUCAGGUCUCCGCCGCCACUCGACGCCAGGGCGCCGGGUGAGUCCACAGCAGGGCGCAUGGUCGGCUCCACUCUCACCAUCGGGGGAAACUGAGGCCCCGGGGAAGGCGGCCAGAGAGGUCAGGCCCUGUCCUUGGUGCAGUGUCUCGUCCUCUUUGCCGGAGUGAGCCCCCCAGGAUUCGCGUGUCCUCGGGAAAGACACUGGCAGGCCUUGUGGGCUGUGCUGCACCUCGGACGGCUUCGCACCAGCCAGCGCCCUCUCUCUCCUGCAGCACUCUGAUCUGCACCCCCUGAGGGGCUUCCACUGUCCGCGGGGUGAGAAUGCCCCUGGGAGUGUCACAUGACUGCCGCCCCAUGUGUGUGAGAGGCGUCCUCUGGGAGAGCAUGGAUCCUGAGGUCCCAGGAUUGUCAGCUGACCUCUGUCCUGUGUGCCCAGUGGCCCCAGGUGACGUGUCUUCAAGAAGAGGCUGAGCUGCGGUGCUUGUAAGGGUCUCAUUCUGUCACCCAGGCUGGAGUGCAGUGGUGCAAUGAUGGCUCACUGCAGCCUCGACCUGGGCUCAAGUGAUCCUCCACCUCAGCUUCCUGAGUAGCUGGGACCACAGAGUCAUGUGCUGUUCCUGGGGCUUGGAUGAUGUAGGGGAAGCAAGGUGAAAGUGGUAUCCCGUGGUUCCACGUUCUGUCCUGCUGUGGGGCUGUCCCUCACAUGCUUUCAGUGGCUGUUGCAGAGGAAGAGCCUCCGGAAAUCUGCGUGGGUAAAGUGAGCUCCCCGGGGGAACCGUCCUCCUCCCUUGAGCGCUGGUGUGUCCAUAGUGUGCUGUGAUCUGGAUUAGCAGUGAGUUUUUCUUUCAGGGUGUGUGUGUAUGAUGUUAGGACCAUAUGCUCCUGACCUUUUCCAACCCAAAAGCGUUUCCAUUUUUUUAAUGCUGGAAGUGUCUUAACUCCUUUUGGGGUCUUAGAAGGACACACGGUGGCCGUGGCUGGGCCUCUGCUCAGCUGGGCUGCUCUCCCUGCCUCAGGCCCUUGACACCAGCCUCCCUCCCUUGCUGGCUCUCUUUCUGUCCUUCCCUGCUCUUGUAUCCAAAAGUGAUCAUGGGUUGCCUGUGUCCCGAUCAUUAACAGUGCAGGGGUAGGAGUGCUGAAAGACAUCUUCCCUGCGUUGGUCCAGCCUUCCCUUUCAAACCCUGGAGCUUUCCCACGCUGCAGCCUUUUUCCAACUAGGCUUUCAGAGCUUGGGCCUUUGUGGGCCCAUGUGAUGUGGUGACUAGACCCACCCCCUGACUUCUGAGGGUUCAUUUUGUCUUUUCAUGUUAGGGAUCCUCCUGCCAGAAACCAGUCUGCAUUUCUCUCUGGGCCCCACGCUGGAAUGAAUUCAGAUAGCAGUGAAGGGCACACGUGAGAACUGCGAAUCACGGGCUUUGCUUCAUGAAAUGUGAAAUCCACAUUGUUUCCACAGGCACCAUCAGUAAUGUCGAACAAAUGGAGAAAGUUGCAGGUGGGGCUAGGAAAGCUGUAUUCCUGUGGAUUACUCUAGCUGGUCAUUUGCCCCGAUUGUGAACUGCUUGAAAGAAAAACGAAACUUCUAAGAUGUUUGUCCUUUCAUGUCCUUUCUGUUGGGAUUUUUUAUUUGGUGUGCGUGAAUGAGGAGCUUCGCCCUGCUUGAAUGGGACCCCUCUCAGUGGUGUCAGCUUGGGGAGGAGGAGAUGGCCCUGGAGACUAAAUACUUGUAUGCUUUCUUACCCUCUUAGGUCUCAGCCUUAGAUCCAAGGACAGUCCAAGGAAGUCCUAAGACCAUGGAGUUGGUGAUCUGGGAUCUGGGUUUGCUGAUAUUUCUCACCGUGAAUCUCUUGGUGGUGUUUGUGGGCACGAGAGGGGCAGAGAAUGGAGAGUGAGGCUACCACAUGAAGCGUCACCAGAGCUGCUCCCUGCUGCCUGCUCAGAGCACCCCGGAUCCACUGUUCAAUCUGCACAAGAUUCGGGGUCCAGACAUGGGAGACUUCAGCUGCCUCAGAGGACCGUGGACAGGGAAGGCCAGCCUCGCAUCCCUCUGUCCAUGCCUGGAAUGACUUUAAUAACCAAGAGUUUUAUUUUUGAAUUUGUAGCUGUCGUUCACUUUUUACCCACCCAUUCAAUAAACCUUACAGAAUUGCUCCA
Molecule: long non-coding RNA, 2261 nt
Organism: Homo sapiens (human)
Lineage: Eukaryota; Metazoa; Chordata; Mammalia; Primates; Hominidae
Gene: SNHG17
Product: small nucleolar RNA host gene 17
Source: Ensembl